UUGGAAGAGCAAAGUACACCUGGAAACUGCUGUAUCGCUGAGACUGGAGCGAGCGUCAGCCUGAAAGCAAAUUAUAAAAUGCCUGAAAGAAGAAAGCAGAGAAUUGGAAUUGUCGGCUAUGGACAUGUAGGCACUUACCUCGUGCGCCAGAUCCAGAAAGAAGGUGGGAAGUAUCACCUGGAGUUGGCGUUUAUCUGGAAUAGGACUGUGGGGAAGAUGGAAGGGGCAGUGGAACCUCAUCUCCAACUUCAUGACCUUUCUGACUUUAG
Long non-coding RNA from Pseudophryne corroboree (corroboree frog), 269 nucleotides. RefSeq lists it as uncharacterized. Lineage: Eukaryota; Metazoa; Chordata; Amphibia; Anura; Myobatrachidae. The record is from RefSeq and is a predicted model, not a curated record. The transcript has 3 exons.